UGGCGGCAGGCCUAACACAUGCAAGUCGAGCGGUAGAGAGAAGCUUGCUUCUCUUGAGAGCGGCGGACGGGUGAGUAAUGCCUAGGAAUCUGCCUGGUAGUGGGGGAUAACGUUCGGAAACGGACGCUAAUACCGCAUACGUCCUACGGGAGAAAGCAGGGGACCUUCGGGCCUUGCGCUAUCAGAUGAGCCUAGGUCGGAUUAGCUAGUUGGUGAGGUAAUGGCUCACCAAGGCGACGAUCCGUAACUGGUCUGAGAGGAUGAUCAGUCACACUGGAACUGAGACACGGUCCAGACUCCUACGGGAGGCAGCAGUGGGGAAUAUUGGACAAUGGGCGAAAGCCUGAUCCAGCCAUGCCGCGUGUGUGAAGAAGGUCUUCGGAUUGUAAAGCACUUUAAGUUGGGAGGAAGGGUUGUAGAUUAAUACUCUGCAAUUUUGACGUUACCGACAGAAUAAGCACCGGCUAACUCUGUGCCAGCAGCCGCGGUAAUACAGAGGGUGCAAGCGUUAAUCGGAAUUACUGGGCGUAAAGCGCGCGUAGGUGGUUUGUUAAGUUGGAUGUGAAAUCCCCGGGCUCAACCUGGGAACUGCAUUCAAAACUGACUGACUAGAGUAUGGUAGAGGGUGGUGGAAUUUCCUGUGUAGCGGUGAAAUGCGUAGAUAUAGGAAGGAACACCAGUGGCGAAGGCGACCACCUGGACUAAUACUGACACUGAGGUGCGAAAGCGUGGGGAGCAAACAGGAUUAGAUACCCUGGUAGUCCACGCCGUAAACGAUGUCAACUAGCCGUUGGAAGCCUUGAGCUUUUAGUGGCGCAGCUAACGCAUUAAGUUGACCGCCUGGGGAGUACGGCCGCAAGGUUAAAACUCAAAUGAAUUGACGGGGGCCCGCACAAGCGGUGGAGCAUGUGGUUUAAUUCGAAGCAACGCGAAGAACCUUACCAGGCCUUGACAUCCAAUGAACUUUCUAGAGAUAGAUUGGUGCCUUCGGGAACAUUGAGACAGGUGCUGCAUGG
Molecule: ribosomal RNA, 1016 nt
Filed under: Pseudomonas sp. EP_L_20
Lineage: Bacteria; Pseudomonadati; Pseudomonadota; Gammaproteobacteria; Pseudomonadales; Pseudomonadaceae
Description: bacterial SSU rRNA
Rfam family: Bacterial small subunit ribosomal RNA
Source: RNAcentral